RNAcentral lists this transfer RNA (69 nucleotides) under Sternochetus mangiferae. Its description in RNAcentral is "tRNA-Thr". Lineage: Eukaryota; Metazoa; Arthropoda; Insecta; Coleoptera; Curculionidae. The record is from RNAcentral.
GUUUUAAUAAUUUAAAUUAAAAAAAUAUUGGUCUUGUAAACCAACAAUAAGAUUUAUUCUUUUAAAACU